GACGAACGCUGGCGGCGUGCUUAACACAUGCAAGUGGAGCGACGAACCCGGGCUUUCCCUGGGGCAGAGCCGCGCACGGGUGAGUAUCACGUGUGUAUCGUGUCCCGAUGACUGGGACAUCCCGGGGACACCCGGGCUCAUAUCGGAUGUGCCCCCUCACAUUACUGGGGUGUGUAAAGGAAGCUUCGGCCUCCGCGUCUGGGCCGGCCCGCGGUCCCUUAGCUUGUUGGUCAGGUGACGGCUCACCAAGGCUGCGAUGGGUUGCUGGUGUGGGUGGACGAUCCGCCACACUGGGACUUGGACGCGGCCAAGAGUCCUACGGGAGGCAGCAGUGGCGAAUCUUGCGCAGUGGGCGGAAGCGUGACGCAACAACGCGGCGUGGGAGGAGGCGGCCUUCGGUUUGGAAACCCCUUUCAGUGGUGACGAAGGUCGGUCGGUUAACAGCCGGUCCGACUGACGGUACCUUCACAAGAAGCCCCGGCUAACUACGUG
Molecule: ribosomal RNA, 492 nt
Filed under: uncultured bacterium
Lineage: Bacteria
Description: partial 16S ribosomal RNA
Rfam family: Bacterial small subunit ribosomal RNA
Source: RNAcentral